Molecule: unclassified non-coding RNA, 227 nt
Filed under: uncultured fungus
Lineage: Eukaryota; Fungi
Description: sequence contains ITS1, 5.8S rRNA gene
Source: RNAcentral
UCUCCGUAGGUGAACCUGCGGAGGGAUCAUUACUGAGUGAGGGCCUUCGGGCUCGACCUCCAACCCUUUGUGAACACAACUUGUUGCUUCGGGGGCGACCCUGCCGUUUCGACGGCGAGCGCCCCCGGAGGCCUUCAAACACUGCAUCUUUGCGUCGGAGUUUAAAACAAAUGAAAAAAAACUUUCAACAACGGAUCUCUUGGUUCUGGCAUCGAUGAAGAACGAGC